Molecule: ribosomal RNA, 498 nt
Filed under: Marinomonas sp. MED121
Lineage: Bacteria; Pseudomonadati; Pseudomonadota; Gammaproteobacteria; Oceanospirillales; Oceanospirillaceae
Description: bacterial LSU rRNA
Rfam family: Bacterial large subunit ribosomal RNA
Source: RNAcentral
AGGGCCAUCGCUCAACGGAUAAAAGGUACUCCGGGGAUAACAGGCUGAUACCGCCCAAGAGUUCACAUCGACGGCGGUGUUUGGCACCUCGAUGUCGGCUCAUCACAUCCUGGGGCUGAAGCCGGUCCCAAGGGUAUGGCUGUUCGCCAUUUAAAGUGGUACGCGAGCUGGGUUUAGAACGUCGUGAGACAGUUCGGUCCCUAUCUGCCGUGGACGUUUGAGAUUUGAGAGGAGCUGCUCCUAGUACGAGAGGACCGGAGUGGACGAACCUCUGGUGUUCCGGUUGUCACGCCAGUGGCAUUGCCGGGUAGCUACGUUCGGACGGGAUAACCGCUGAAAGCAUCUAAGCGGGAAGCCUCCCUCAAGAUGAGAUCUCACUGGAACUUUAAGUUCCCUAAAGAGCCGUUGAAGACUACGACGUUGAUAGGCAGGGUGUGUAAGUGCUGUGAGGCAUUGAGCUAACCUGUACUAAUUGCUCGUGAGGCUUGACCAUAUAAC